Molecule: ribosomal RNA, 486 nt
Filed under: uncultured bacterium
Lineage: Bacteria
Description: partial 16S ribosomal RNA
Rfam family: Bacterial small subunit ribosomal RNA
Source: RNAcentral
ACUCAAAGGAAUUGACGGGGGCCCGCACAAGCAGCGGAGCGUGUGGUUUAAUUCGAUGCGACACGAAGAACCUUACCUGGGUUUGACAUGGAGGUAGUAGUGAAGCGAAAGCAGAACGACCCGUCAGGGAGCCUUCACAGGUGCUGCAUGGCUGUCGUCAGCUCGUGUCGUGAGAUGUUGGGUUAAGUCCCGCAACGAGCGCAACCCUUGUCGCUAGUUACGUGUGUCUAGCGAGACUGCCGGUAUCAAGCCGGAGGAAGGUGGGGAUGACGUCAAGUCAGCAUGGCCUUUAUAUCCAGGGCUACUCACACGCUACAAUGGGCAGUACAGUGGGAAGCGAAAGGGCGACCUGGAGCGAAUCCUAAAAAGCUGCUCGUAGUUCAGAUUGCAGGCUGCAACCCGCCUGCAUGAAGUUGGAGUUGCUAGUAAACGCAGGUCAGCGAUACUGCGUUGAAUACGUUCCCGGGCCUUGUACACACCGCCCGU